AUACGGAGGGUGCAAGCGUUACUCGGAAUCACUGGGCGUAAAGCGCGCGCAGGCGGUCUUUUAAGUUGGAUGUGAAAGCCUACGGCUCAACCGUAGAACUGCAUCCAAAACUAUUAGACUAGAGUGUGGGAGAGGAAGAUGGAAUUAGUUGUGUAGGGGUAAAAUCCGUAGAGAUAACUAGGAAUACCAAAAGCGAAGGCAAUCUUCUGGAACACUACUGACGCUGAGGCGCGAAAGCGUGGGGAGCAAACAGAAUUAGAUACCCUAGUAGUCC
RNAcentral lists this ribosomal RNA (274 nucleotides) under uncultured bacterium. RNAcentral's name for it is "partial 16S ribosomal RNA". It matches the Rfam family "Bacterial small subunit ribosomal RNA", at positions 523 to 796 of the family's 1533-position model. The record is from RNAcentral.